UUCCUACGGGGAGGCAGCAGUGGGGAAUUUUGGACAAUGGGGGCAAGCCUGAUCCAGCCAUGCCGCGUGAGGGAAGAAGGCCUUCGGGUUGUAAAGCUCUUUUGUCAGGGACGAAACGGUCUGCUCUAAUAUAGCAGGGUAAUGACGGUACCUGAAGAAGAAGCACCGGCUAACUACGUGCCAGCAGCCGCGGUAAUACGUAGGGUGCGAGCGUUAAUCGGAAUUACUGGGCGUAAAGCGUGCGCAGGCGGUUGUGCAAGACAGAUGUGAAAUCCCCGGGCUUAACCUGGGAACUGCAUUUGUGACUGCAAGGCUAGAGUGCGGCAGAGGGGGAUGGAAUUCCGCGUGUAGCAGUGAAAUGCGUAGAUAUGCGGAGGAACACCGA
Molecule: ribosomal RNA, 385 nt
Filed under: uncultured Comamonadaceae bacterium
Lineage: Bacteria; Pseudomonadati; Pseudomonadota; Betaproteobacteria; Burkholderiales; Comamonadaceae
Description: bacterial SSU rRNA
Rfam family: Bacterial small subunit ribosomal RNA
Source: RNAcentral